Molecule: non-coding RNA, 45 nt
Filed under: Trichobilharzia regenti
Lineage: Eukaryota; Metazoa; Platyhelminthes; Trematoda; Strigeidida; Schistosomatidae
Source: RNAcentral
AUCCAAGUGACGAGUCCCAAAUAGGACGAAAUGCGCAUCUUGGAU